GAUCAGUGGCUCAGGACGAACGCUGGCGGCGUGCCUAACACAUGCAAGUCGAGCGAAUGAAGUUCCUUCGGGAACGGAUUUAGCGGCGGACGGGUGAGUAACACGUGGGCAACCUGCCUCAUAGAGGGGAAUAGCCUUCCGAAAGGGAGAUUUAAUACCGCAUAAGAUUGUAGUACCGCAUGGUACAGCAAUUAAAGGAGUAAUCCGCUAUGAGAUGGGCCCGCGGCGCAUUAGCUAGUUGGUGAGGUAACGGCUCACCAAGGCGACGAUGCGUAGCCGACCUGAGAGGGUGAUCGGCCACAUUGGGACUGAGACACGGCCCAGACUCCUACGGGAGGCAGCAGGUGGGGAAUAUUGCACAAGUGGGGGAAACCCUGAUGCAGCAACGCCGCGUGAGUGAUGACGGCCGUUCGGGUUGUAAAGCUCUGUCUUCAGGGACGAUAAUGACGGUACCUGAGGAGGAAGCCACGGCUAACUACGUG
This 482-nucleotide ribosomal RNA is filed under the name uncultured bacterium. RNAcentral describes it as "bacterial SSU rRNA". It matches the Rfam family "Bacterial small subunit ribosomal RNA", at positions 15 to 507 of the family's 1533-position model. The record is from RNAcentral.